RNAcentral lists this ribosomal RNA (553 nucleotides) under uncultured Bifidobacterium sp. RNAcentral describes it as "bacterial SSU rRNA". It matches the Rfam family "Bacterial small subunit ribosomal RNA", at positions 147 to 710 of the family's 1533-position model. Lineage: Bacteria; Bacillati; Actinomycetota; Actinomycetes; Bifidobacteriales; Bifidobacteriaceae. The record is from RNAcentral.
CUCCUGGAAACGGGUGGUAAUGCCGGAUGCUCCGGUUGGAUGCAUGUCCUUCCGGGAAAGAUUCUAUCGGUAUGGGAUGGGGUCGCGUCCUAUCAGCUUGAUGGCGGGGUAACGGCCCACCAUGGCUUCGACGGGUAGCCGGCCUGAGAGGGCGACCGGCCACAUUGGGACUGAGAUACGGCCCAGACUCCUACGGGAGGCAGCAGUGGGGAAUAUUGCACAAUGGGCGCAAGCCUGAUGCAGCGACGCCGCGUGCGGGAUGGAGGCCUUCGGGUUGUAAACCGCUUUUGAUCGGGAGCAAGCCCUUCGGGGUGAGUGUACCUUUCGAAUAAGCACCGGCUAACUACGUGCCAGCAGCCGCGGUAAUACGUAGGGUGCAAGCGUUAUCCGGAAUUAUUGGGCGUAAAGGGCUCGUAGGCGGUUCGUCGCGUCCGGUGUGAAAGCCCAUCGCUUAACGGUGGGUCUGCGCCGGGUACGGGCGGGCUGGAGUGCGGUAGGGGAGACUGGAAUUCCCGGUGUAACGGUGGAAUGUGUAGAUAUCGGGAAGAACACC